UAGGAGAGAUUCCAGUUUCUGCUUAAUAGAAUUAAGUUACAGCAACAUUAAGAUUCCCCUUGGCACAAAGGCAUCAAAAUGCGUUUCCAUAUGACUGCUGGAACAUACAUGUAUGCACCCUUGGAUUUAAGUCAAGUUUAAUUAUAGCAAAGUACCACAUCCAGUCUCCUGGCCUGCAGCAGUUCAUGAACCAUCACAAGCUCUCCAAUGCAGGAAGAUGCGGCAGUGAAGCUCCUGGACCUUUUCCAGCAGAACUCCACCCAAGGCAGCAUGGUUCUGGACACAGAGUGACCUUGAUCACUGCUCCCAUCUACUGGACAAUCAUGGCGUGAAGUGGGAAAAACAACCGAGUCUGACAAGAAGCUAACUAGUUGUCUUGGAGUAAGAGCCUUGGAUUACAAAUGGAGCAAAUGCAAGCGCUGACACUGAUGUACAUUAAGCUCCUGCCAAGAGACGUGAGCAGCCGCCGCAGUAACGCUAACAGGAUAUACUCAGGACUACACCUCACCUGCCCGCCAGCUUUUCACCAGCCGCAUGCUGUAAGCCACGCCCUUCCCCUCUGUCCUCUAGCCCUCUGCUUCAGCCAGCUACCUCCCCAUCCCGCUACCCUUGCAAUAAAUCCAUUUAAUUUACCUUACUGCUGAGUCUGUGUCUGAGUCCAACUUUGCAUAUCAUAACAUCACCAGCCCUUAAUUUUUUUUUUUUCUUAUUCACUUUGGUUCUUCACUUUGUCUUAACAUUCUCUAAACUAAAGUUGUUACAACUGUUUACUACAUCUCUAUUGCAUGUCUGCAAAGGGUAGUAACUCACCAUGGCAGUCAACCCUGGAACCUUUUUGUUGACAAGAAUGUCAGUUUUGUCAGUUUUGUCUAGUUCAGGGCUGCCCAAAGUGGGGCCCACAGGCCAAAGUUGACCUGGUAUAAGGUUCAGUUUGGCCCGCCAGGUGUUUCUUGUGAAAGAAAAUUUUACAUAAUUAAUAAUUAGGGACCGAGCCAGCGACCACUUAAACAUAAUUUAAAUUAAAGCUGCAAGCAGCGUUGGGCGGGACCUCGCACUCCACGCAACUCGGGGAGUUCUGCGGCCGCGUCACGUGAUGUCAUAACUCGUGCGGACCAAAACAUGAAAAUCUCACGUAAAUCAGCUCAAAAUCGCCACGCUGCGCUUACUUCCCGUUGCCAGUAGGUGGCGCUAGACAUGUUCAAGGCGAGAGUGUUAUCAAACACGUGAAGUUUCAUUGAGAUUGGACCACGUACGCUGAAGUUAUGAGGACGUGUUCAGGGCAAAACUGUUUCAGAAUAUAUUAAAUUUAUUGGAGAUUGGACCUUGCACACUGAAGUUAUGAGUACUAUUUUAUGGCAAAUCUGCUGAAAUCGACAAGUUGUCACUGGCACGCGGUUUGAUAUACAGUCACAAAUAGCUCAACUUUUCAAUCAGUUUGUAUGACCACAGAAUUCAAAAUGGCCAACUUUGACGGUACGACACAGACACGCCCUUCAACGUACAGUCUCAAAUGGCACAAGUUUUGAUAACCAAUGUGUCUAGAUUGCAGUGAUCGAAUUUGAAGUCAAUCUGAUAAAAUCUGUAGGAGGAGUUCGUUAAAACAGAAGCCCUUAAAUGCCGGAAAUGGCAUCACAGUUUGACAUUCGAUUCAACCUGGCCAACUUUGAGGGCAUGCCACGGACAUGCCCUUUAAUGUACAUGCACAAAUAGCACAACUUUUAAUUUAAGUUUGUUCAAAUACAACGCAAAAAGUUCGCUGAAAUUGAAACUUUAAAUCAAAAUGGCCGACUCCCUGUGGGAUUUGGGGUAUGGGUCCAAAGGCUUUUUUGUACGUCCCGGCAUGUUACACGUGCCUACCGAGUUUCGUAUAUAUCCAUGAAACGUGGCACCGGGGGUUGCUAUUUUUUUUAUCCUGUGGGGGGCGCUACAAACACGACAAACACGAUUUUUUUUGACGAAAAAUCAAAAGGAAGUGUGAAUUUUAUAGCAGGCUUAUUUUUUGAAAUAUCAAAAAAUGUUCAAAUUACUUUUUUUUGCCAGGGUGUUCCCCAGGUGCUAGGUGAACAUUUCGUGCAAAUCGGACAAAGCGUGUAGGAGGACCACAAAAUAGUACUGUAUGGACAUUUUGCGCUCUAACAAAAAAAAUUAUAGGCGGAAGUGGGCGGGGCCUAUAUGGAGAGAUUCAGCUCCAUUCACCGAACGCGUGGAUAUAAGUGUUUU
RNAcentral lists this long non-coding RNA (2220 nucleotides) under Dicentrarchus labrax (European seabass). RNAcentral's name for it is "lncRNA (ENSDLAG00005034936.1)". Lineage: Eukaryota; Metazoa; Chordata; Actinopteri; Moronidae. The record is from RNAcentral.